AGUAACGCGUGGGUAACCUGCCUCGUACAGGGGGAUAACAGUUAGAAAUGACUGCUAAUACCGCAUGAGCGCACAGUGCUGCAUGGCACAGUGUGAAAAACUCCGGUGGUAUGAGAUGGACCCGCGUCUGAUUAGCUAGUUGGUGGGGUAACGGCCUACCAAGGCGACGAUCAGUAGCCGACCUGAGAGGGUGACCGGCCACAUUGGACUGAGACACGGCCAA
RNAcentral lists this ribosomal RNA (223 nucleotides) under uncultured bacterium. RNAcentral describes it as "partial 16S ribosomal RNA". It matches the Rfam family "Bacterial small subunit ribosomal RNA", at positions 109 to 334 of the family's 1533-position model. The record is from RNAcentral.